UCGGUUUCUAUCUAUGCCGGCGUCUUCUUCAGUACGAAAGGACAAAGAAGACAGGACCAAUGCUAAAAGCACGUCCUACAUGGAAGCGUGCUGUACCAAACUAAAGCACAAACACACCCACACACCCAAACCAAAGAUAAUGGUUUU
RNAcentral lists this ribosomal RNA (147 nucleotides) under Eumeces schneiderii. RNAcentral's name for it is "Eumeces schneideri partial 16S ribosomal RNA". The record is from RNAcentral. Lineage: Eukaryota; Metazoa; Chordata; Lepidosauria; Squamata; Scincidae.